UUCACAACCCAGGAAGCUGAAGUCUUCUGUAUAAGUACAAGUGUGGAAAGUGGCAGUGAAAGUUUCCUUGUAUCAUCCUGUGAAUGAGCCUUAAUCCUGGCCUGUUGGGGACUAUCUGUAUGAGUGAGAGGGGAAGAGUUCAUACUCCACACUCAUUCAAUCCUUAGUCACA
This 172-nucleotide small RNA is filed under the name Chrysemys picta bellii (western painted turtle). RNAcentral's name for it is "TUC338 (ENSCPBG00000019451.1)". The record is from RNAcentral. Lineage: Eukaryota; Metazoa; Chordata; Testudines; Emydidae.